Molecule: long non-coding RNA, 204 nt
Filed under: Mytilus galloprovincialis (Mediterranean mussel)
Lineage: Eukaryota; Metazoa; Mollusca; Bivalvia; Mytilida; Mytilidae
Source: RNAcentral
UGCGACAUGUAAAAACCCCAUCCCCCUUUUUUACAAAAUACUCAAUAACUCAAAAAUGGAUUUUUGAAUCAUCACCAAAAAGUAUACAGAUCUUUAGAUUAAUAUAACUAAGAAGUGUGUAAAGUUUUAAGCAAUAAUCAAAUCAUAAAUCGUUUAUGAGAUUUGGCGCAACAUGUGAAACCCCCCCCCUCCCUUUUAAAAAAA